CUCUUAUCACAAUGCCUUGCCAGAACAUGACACAGAAUCUGUCAAAUUUCAUUUCUUAGUACCUCAAAUCCCUAUAGAUACUUUGGAGGCUCUGAGCUCUUGUUACUCCAUUAUGUGUGGCUCAAUUGGGAAAGUCAUUUCACAGCCUUGGGACUCAACAAAAGUGGUUUUGGCAGACUGAAAGGAGGUGACUGGCUGAGAGCCCCAGAUGUCCUUGUUGUGAGCCCGAGCAUCUCCUCCUCCUCACGGCCCUGCUACCUUCACGUGCAACACUUCUGCUGCUCUAAAGAUACCAAAAGGUUUUAAUUACGAUUAAGCCAAGUCAUUUCUACACUUUCGAGCUG
This 344-nucleotide long non-coding RNA is filed under the name Zonotrichia albicollis (white-throated sparrow). RNAcentral's name for it is "lncRNA (ENSZALG00000008595.1)". Lineage: Eukaryota; Metazoa; Chordata; Aves; Passeriformes; Passerellidae. The record is from RNAcentral.